RNAcentral lists this transfer RNA (73 nucleotides) under Camelus bactrianus (Bactrian camel). It matches the Rfam family "tRNA". From Rfam's summary of the family: Transfer RNA (tRNA) molecules are approximately 80 nucleotides in length. Their secondary structure includes four short double-helical elements and three loops (D, anti-codon, and T loops). Further hydrogen bonds mediate the characteristic L-shaped molecular structure. tRNAs have two regions of fundamental functional importance: the anti-codon, which is responsible for specific mRNA codon recognition, and the 3' end, to which the tRNAs corresponding amino acid is attached (by aminoacyl-tRNA synthetases). tRNAs cope with the degeneracy of the genetic code in two manners: having more than one tRNA (with a specific anti-codon) for a particular amino acid; and 'wobble' base-pairing, i.e. permitting non-standard base-pairing at the 3rd anti-codon position. RNAcentral also lists the same sequence under 2 other names. Lineage: Eukaryota; Metazoa; Chordata; Mammalia; Artiodactyla; Camelidae. The record is from Rfam by way of RNAcentral.
GAAGAUACAGCUCAAGCACCAGAGCAUGUGCUUAGUAUGCACAAGAUCCUGGGUUCAAUCCCCAGUACCUCCU